Molecule: long non-coding RNA, 2020 nt
Filed under: Homo sapiens (human)
Lineage: Eukaryota; Metazoa; Chordata; Mammalia; Primates; Hominidae
Description: HSALNT0160641
Source: RNAcentral
UGAAAACUGGCACAAGACAGGGAUGCAUUGUUAAAAAAAUAAUAUUUCUGGGGAAAAGGCUCAGUGCUCAACGGUUACUCUAUAAAGAGAUUUAAAAAGAAAGUCAAGGGAAGAUAAGGAAGGUAGCAUGGCUAACAACCUCGUGGGUUCUACUAGCAUUAUUUCAUGCAAAAUGUCAUUAACCUUUAUAUAGGAGAGAAUAAGUCUGGGAAUCAACUGGCAUCUAAACUCCAUUUCUUGUUUUGUCACUGCUUCCCUGGUUGACUAUGGAAAAUACAUUUGGUCUUUUGAUACCUUGGUUUCAACAACUAUAACAUGACUUAAGAACUUUUAUGCAUGGACUUUGUAAUAGUUAUCUAUUUCUGCAUACAAAUUACUUCAAAACUUAAAUCGUCGUUUGAAACAACAAACACUAUCUCACAGUUUCUGUGGGUCAGGAGUCCAGACAUGGCUUAUUGGGUAACCGCCUCAAAGUCUUACUAGGCUGUAAUACAGUUAUUGGCUAGAGCUGCUGUUUCAUCUGAAGGUUCAAUUGAGAGAGGAUCCACUUCUAAGCUCACUCACAUGGUUGCUGGCACAAUUCAAUUCCUCUCAGGCUAUUGGAUUAAGGGUCUCAGUUCCCUACUGACUGUUGGUCAGUGAACUUUCCUCAGUUCUUUGCCAUAUGGGGAUCCAUAGAACAGCUCACUACAUGGCAACUGGCUUCUAUCAAAGUGAGCAAUAAGGAAGUAAGCAAGAGAGGUUUGCAAGACAAAAGCUACUAUCUCUUUAUAAUCUAAUCUCAGAAGUAGCAUCAUAUCCCUUCUGCCAUAUUCUGUUCAUUAGAAGUAAAUCUCUGGGUCUAGCCAUACUCUAUUGCAGAGAUCACACAAGGGUGUGAAUACAGACACAGGGAUUGUUGGGGCUCAUCUUAGAGGUCGUCUCCCAUAGAGUUAGCUGCCAAUCUGAGGGGUCACAGGGACCCAUGCAUCUGGGCCAGAACACUGGGAUUUCAUCCCUUAAGCAGGACAACAUUCAUUCAGAAACAUAUAUAUAUGUUUAUAUGUUUCUCACUAAUCAAAGAGAGAAGCAAGGCCUGUCCCUGACGAGCUCCCUUUCUCAGAUCCGCCCUGAACUGCCUAAGUUAAAUCCAUGUACCUUGACUAGGUGAACCAUAGAGUCCAAGCCUAGAGUUGGGUCCUGGGUUUAAUCCUGGUUCUGUCUUAGCCCUAUGACCUUAGGCCACUUCUCUUCGGCUUGGUUUUCUUUGCAUCAGGAAGUGUCGGAUUAGAUCCCAACAAUGGUUCUCAAAUUGGAGUGCCUGUGAAAAUCACCUGGGGUCAUUUGAAAAAUUCCUGAUGCCUAGCACACCCCUGACAAAUUAAAUCAGAAGAUCUGAGGGUGAGAUUCAGGCAAGAGGACUUCUUAACAGCUCCCCAAGUGAUUUCAUUGUUCAGCCAAGGUUGAUAACUACUCAUUUAGAAGAUUGGUAAUCCUAACUCUGGUACAUGGGAACUAUCUGAGGAGCUUUAAAAACAAAUACAGAAGCCAGAAUCUUAGGACAAUUAAAAUAGAAAUCCCUGGGGGUUGGUCCCAGACAUGGUGUCUUUCAAAGCUCCCCAGAUGAUUCUAAUGUGUAGCCAGAUUUGUGGACCCUCAGGUUUAAUGAUCUUCAAGAAUCCUCUAUCUAAGGUUCUAAGCUUGUCCGAAUGGACUUGUAGAGCUAUAAGCACGUGUACCACCUUCUCAGGAAGGUGGCCGCUCCAAUGCUCUCUGACUCUAAAGAAUGAAAUGAUUAUUCCCACCCGAACAUCCAUCUUCUCUGGGUUUACCGUCCCCUACUUACAGUCCGUAAAAAGGUCACCCUAGACUUGACCUCAGUCUCAUUGUGACACACACAGCACGCCAGCGUUCUUAACCUUUUUGGUUACAGAGACCCUUUUAGAAACUUCAUGAAAAUUGUAAGUCAUCUCAUAAGGAGGAUCUUACAUGCACAUCAAAUUGAGCAUACAAUUUUCAUGGAUCCCUAAACUCUUGAUAC